GUGUCAGCCGCCGCGGUAAUACGAAGGGGGCUAGCGUUGCUCGGAAUUACUGGGCGUAAAGGGCGCGUAGGCGGAUGUUUAAGUUGGGGGUGAAAGCCCGGGGCUCAACCUCGGAACAGCCUUCAAUACUGGACAUCUUGAGUACGGGAGAGGUGAGUGGAACUCCGAGUGUAGAGGUGAAAUUCGUAGAUAUUCGGAAGAACACCAGUGGCGAAGGCGACUCACUGGCCCGUUACUGACGCUGAGGCGCGAAAGCGUGGGGAGCAAACAGGAUUAGAUACCCUGGUAGUCCACGCUGUAAACGAUGAGUGCUAGUUGUCGGCAUGCAUGCAUGUCGGUGACGCAGCUAACGCAUUAAGCACUCCGCCUGGGGAGUACGGUCGCAAGAUUAAAACUCAAAUGAAUUGACGG
RNAcentral lists this ribosomal RNA (411 nucleotides) under uncultured bacterium. RNAcentral's name for it is "bacterial SSU rRNA". It matches the Rfam family "Bacterial small subunit ribosomal RNA", at positions 505 to 916 of the family's 1533-position model. The record is from RNAcentral.